This 741-nucleotide ribosomal RNA is filed under the name Lactiplantibacillus plantarum. RNAcentral describes it as "bacterial SSU rRNA". It matches the Rfam family "Bacterial small subunit ribosomal RNA", at positions 479 to 1220 of the family's 1533-position model. Lineage: Bacteria; Bacillati; Bacillota; Bacilli; Lactobacillales; Lactobacillaceae. The record is from RNAcentral.
UUAACCAGAAAGCCACGGCUAACUACGUGCCAGCAGCCGCGGUAAUACGUAGGUGGCAAGCGUUGUCCGGAUUUAUUGGGCGUAAAGCGAGCGCAGGCGGUUUUUUAAGUCUGAUGUGAAAGCCUUCGGCUCAACCGAAGAAGUGCAUCGGAAACUGGGAAACUUGAGUGCAGAAGAGGACAGUGGAACUCCAUGUGUAGCGGUGAAAUGCGUAGAUAUAUGGAAGAACACCAGUGGCGAAGGCGGCUGCCUGGUCUGUAACUGACGCUGAGGCUCGAAAGUAUGGGUAGCAAACAGGAUUAGAUACCCUGGUAGUCCAUACCGUAAACGAUGAAUGCUAAGUGUUGGAGGGUUUCCGCCCUUCAGUGCUGCAGCUAACGCAUUAAGCAUUCCGCCUGGGGAGUACGGCCGCAAGGCUGAAACUCAAAGGAAUUGACGGGGGCCCGCACAAGCGGUGGAGCAUGUGGUUUAAUUCGAAGCUACGCGAAGAACCUUACCAGGUUUUGACAUACUAUGCAAAUCUAAGAGAUUAGACGUUCCCUUCGGGGACAUGGAUACAGGUGGUGCAUGGUUGUCGUCAGCUCGUGUCGUGAGAUGUUGGGUUAAGUCCCGCAACGAGCGCAACCCUUAUUAUCAGUUGCCAGCAUUAAGUUGGGCACUCUGGUGAGACUGCCGGUGACAAACCGGAGGAAGGUGGGGAUGACGUCAAAUCAUCAUGCCCCUUAUGACCUGGGCUACACA